This 420-nucleotide ribosomal RNA is filed under the name uncultured bacterium. RNAcentral's name for it is "bacterial SSU rRNA". It matches the Rfam family "Bacterial small subunit ribosomal RNA", at positions 355 to 792 of the family's 1533-position model. The record is from RNAcentral.
UGGGGAAUAUUGCACAAUGGAGGAAACUCUGAUGCAGCAACGCCGCGUGAGUGAAGAAGUAUUUCGGUAUGUAAAGCUCUAUCAGCAGGGAAGAUAAUGACAGUACCUGACUAAGAAGCCCCGGCUAACUACGUGCCAGCAGCCGCGGUAAUACGUAGGGGGCAAGCGUUAUCCGGAUUUACUGGGUGUAAAGGGAGCGUAGACGGCAGAGCAAGUCUGAAGUGAAAAUCCGGGGCUUAACCCCGGAACUGCUUUGGAAACUGUUUAGCUAGAGUGUCGGAGAGGUAAGUGGAAUUCCUGGUGUAGCGGUGAAAUGCGUAGAUAUCAGGAAGAACACCGGAGGCGAAGGCGGCUUACUGGACGAUAACUGACGUUGAGGCUCGAAAGCGUGGGAAGCAAACAGGAUUAGAUACCCUGGUA